RNAcentral lists this ribosomal RNA (107 nucleotides) under Fukomys damarensis (Damara mole-rat). Lineage: Eukaryota; Metazoa; Chordata; Mammalia; Rodentia; Bathyergidae. The record is from RNAcentral.
GUGUAUGGCCAUGCCACCCUGAAUGCGCGGGAUCUCAUCUGAUGUUGGAAGCUAAGCAGGGUCAGGUCUGGUUAGUACUUGGGUAGAACACCAAUUGGUUCUGUUAC